This is a long non-coding RNA of Cynara cardunculus var. scolymus (artichoke), 766 nucleotides long. RefSeq lists it as uncharacterized. The transcript is spliced from 3 exons. Lineage: Eukaryota; Viridiplantae; Streptophyta; Magnoliopsida; Asterales; Asteraceae. The record is from RefSeq and is a predicted model, not a curated record.
GCCGGAAAACUGAAAUCUGAAAUUCCCGAUCUGUGGAGGAGAAAAAAACGUAGUUUCCGGUGGUCUCUCUUGUUACUGAAUGCUUUUGAGCAAUUUGGAUUUCAUGAAAGGAUAUGGAAUCUUUGGUUUGUAUGAUUUGGAAUGGAAUUGAAUUCCAUUCUACAGAACAUUGGGCGGCUUUGUUCAGGUGGAUGCUGCAAUUGCCCCAAAGAUGUACCGAAAGCUGCCAGAUUCUACAAAGAAGAUCUUGUUUUCAGCAUAAACGUGUGUACUCUCAGGUGGGCCGAACUCGAACGCGGCCCUGUAAAGCUCGCGCUAAUGCAUUCUUCCAGGUUACUGCAAUGCGGUGUAUCGAUGGUCAUAUGUUGGGUCUUUACAAACCUGCAUAUUGCUGCAUUGUGUCCUGAAAAGAAGAAAAUGCAUUUCGUUUUGGUUUGAAAAGCAAGGAGAUCGUAAGUUCUCCUUUUCUUUUCUUGAGUUUCUAGUCGAAUACAUACACAUGCGCACAUAGUAGAUGAAGGCAUUUGAAUGGUUCCAAUAAUCUCCGACUUAUAUUUCAUCUGACCGACCCAAACCAUUCAGAGGUUGCUUUUUUCCUAGACUGCCCUUCGAUCCACGGCUCAUCUCACGCAUCUCUUCCUCAUAUCAUUGCAUCUCAUAUGCUACAUCUCGUGGUAUCUUUGUUUCCUCUAAAUUAUACAGAGCCUCUUAUUCAGAACAUUUUACCUACGAUGUUGAAUUUGAGACUCUCAAUUCAGAACAUUUA